This 240-nucleotide ribosomal RNA is filed under the name uncultured bacterium. Its description in RNAcentral is "partial 16S ribosomal RNA". It matches the Rfam family "Bacterial small subunit ribosomal RNA", at positions 118 to 348 of the family's 1533-position model. The record is from RNAcentral.
UGAGGAACAUGACCUUCGGCGGGGGAUAGCCGGCCCAACGGCCGGGUAAUACCGCGUACGACCUUUCGGGGACAUCCCUGGAUGGUGAAAGCAGCAAUGCGCCGAUGGAGUGCCUCGCGGCCUAUCAGCUAGUUGGUGAGGUAACGGCUCACCAAGGCGACGACGGGUANCUGGUCUGAGAGGAUGGCCUGCCACAGUUGGGACUGAGACACAGCCCAAGUACCUCCCGGUAGGGACGCG